This 77-nucleotide transfer RNA is filed under the name Lentimicrobium sp. S6. RNAcentral describes it as "tRNA-Ile". It matches the Rfam family "tRNA". Rfam says of the family: Transfer RNA (tRNA) molecules are approximately 80 nucleotides in length. Lineage: Bacteria; Pseudomonadati; Bacteroidota; Bacteroidia; Bacteroidales; Lentimicrobiaceae. The record is from RNAcentral.
AGUCCUGUAGCUCAGUUGGUUAGAGCACUACACUGAUAAUGUAGGGGUCCCCCGUUCAAAUCGGGGCAGGACUACCA